This 233-nucleotide unclassified non-coding RNA is filed under the name plant metagenome. Its description in RNAcentral is "partial contains small subunit ribosomal RNA, internal transcribed spacer 1, and 5.8S ribosomal RNA". The record is from RNAcentral.
UUUCCGUAGGUGAACCUGCGGAAGGAUCAUUACUGAGUGAGGGCCCUCUGGGUCCAACCUCCCACCCGUGUUUAUUAUACCUUGUUGCUUCGGUGAGCCCGCCUCACGGCCGCCGGGGGGCAUCUGCCCCCGGGCCCGCGCCCACCGAAGACACCUAGAACUCUGUAUGAAGAUUGCAGUCUGAGCAGAAACUAAAUAAGUUAAAACUUUCAACAACGGAUCUCUUGGUUCCG